GGUAAGGUGACUGAAUUAUAGGUGGUAGAUUGUAAAUCUACUUAUGAGAGAGUUCUCCUUUACCA
Molecule: transfer RNA, 65 nt
Filed under: Ranacris albicornis
Lineage: Eukaryota; Metazoa; Arthropoda; Insecta; Orthoptera; Acrididae
Description: tRNA-Tyr
Source: RNAcentral